Molecule: ribosomal RNA, 440 nt
Filed under: uncultured bacterium
Lineage: Bacteria
Description: partial 16S ribosomal RNA
Rfam family: Bacterial small subunit ribosomal RNA
Source: RNAcentral
CCUACGGGAGGCAGCAGUGGGGAAUAUUGCACAAUGGGGGAAACCCUGAUGCAGCGACGCCGCGUGAGUGAAGAAGUAUUUCGGUAUGUCAAGCUCUAUCAGCAGGGAAGAAAAUGACGGUACCUGAUUAAGACGCCCCGGCUAACUACGUGCCAGCAGCCGCGGUAAUACGUAGGGGGCAAGCGUUAUCCGGAUACACUGGGUGUAAAGGGAGCGUAGACGGCCAUGCAAGCCAGGGGUGAAAGCCCGGGGCCCAACCCCGGGACUGCCCGUUGAACGUCAUGGCUGGAGGGCGGGAGGGGCAGGCGGAAUGCCGGGUGUAGCGGUGAAAUGCGUAGAGAGCAGGAGGAACACCGGCGGCGAAGGCGGCCUGCUGGACCGCGACUGACGUUGAGGCUCGAAAGCGUGGGGAGCGAACAGGAUUAGAUACCCCAGUAGUC